AAUAAAGAUAAGAACAGAAACCAAUGGAGUAGAAAAUGGAAAACAAUGGAAAAAAUCAAAAACUGGUUCUUUGUAAAAGAUUAAUAACUGCUCAAGACCGCUAAAGGAAAAAAAAAGGAACUAAGAUACAAAUUACAGUAUCAAGAAUCAGAGGGCAACAUUGGAACAGAUUCUAAACAUAUUAAAAGGACAAUACAUUGCUAUGAUCUGAAUUUUUGUGAGCCUCCCCACACACAACCCCACUCCACUCCAAGUUUAUGUGUUGAAACUUAAUCCCCAGUUCACUGGUGUUGGCAGGUGGGGCAUCUGGUGGGUAAUUAGCUCAUGAGCAGAGCUGUCAUGAAUGUGAUUAGUGUCAUUAUAAAAGAGACCUGAGAGAGAGCUCAUUGGUGCCUUCUACCAUGUGAGGACACUUAGAAGGUGCCAUCUAUAAGGAGUGGGCCCUACCCAGACACCAAAUCUGCCAAAACCUAGAUCUUGGAUUUUCCAGCCUCCAGAACUGUGAGCAAUAAAUUUCUAUUGUUUAUAAAUUACCAGUCUAAGAUAUUUUGCUAUAGCAGCCCAAACAGACUAAGAAAUAUGAACUUUAUAACAAUAAUUUCUGUAACUUACAUGAAAUGAGCACAAUCCAUGAAAGACACAAAUUGACAAAACUGCCUGAAGAAGAAAUGGAAAAUCUGAAUACCCUUGUAUCUGUUAAAGAAAUCUGUAAUUUAAAAUGUUUUGCAAAGAACAGAAACCAAUG
This 745-nucleotide long non-coding RNA is filed under the name Homo sapiens (human). RNAcentral's name for it is "HSALNT0362504". Lineage: Eukaryota; Metazoa; Chordata; Mammalia; Primates; Hominidae. The record is from RNAcentral.